This is a long non-coding RNA of Melanaphis sacchari, 330 nucleotides long. RefSeq lists it as uncharacterized. The record is from RefSeq and is a predicted model, not a curated record. The transcript has 3 exons. NCBI's taxonomy places the organism in Eukaryota, Metazoa, Arthropoda, Insecta, Hemiptera, Aphididae.
UAAUGUAUACUAUUGUAACAAUAAACAUGGAAAAUUCGUGUGUUUAUUCUACUGCAGUUAAUUUAACUAAGUCGAUGAAAAGCUAGAUGACGCGUCAUGUAGUUUACCCCUGAGAUGCAAGAGGAAUCUUACAGAACAUUUUAUUAAAAUACCAUACAUUCUUACAAUUAUUUUAAAACUAUUGUACAGACACAAAGAUACAACUUAAAAACAAAACAUUCUAUUUCAUACAGAAUGCUUGAUCAUAACUUCAGUGACGCAUAAAUUCUGAUUAUAUGUACCUGUUCCGACUAUACCAAUAUAAAAUAUAAAGUUUCCGACUCAUUAAUA